UGCAGUCGAGCGAACUUUUGGGAGCUUGCUCCCAAAAGUUAGCGGCGGACGGGUGAGUAACACGUGGGCAACCUGCCUGUAAGACUGGGAUAACUUCGGGAAACCGGAGCUAAUACCGGAUAAUUCUUUUCUACUCAUGUAGGAAAGCUGAAAGGCGGCUUCGGCUGUCACUUACAGAUGGGCCCGCGGCGCAUUAGCUAGUUGGUGAGGUAACGGCUCACCAAGGCGACGAUGCGUAGCCGACCUGAGAGGGUGAUCGGCCACACUGGGACUGAGACACGGCCCAGACUCCUACGGGAGGCAGCAGUAGGGAAUCUUCCGCAAUGGACGAAAGUCUGACGGAGCAACGCCGCGUGAGUGAUGAAGGUUUUCGGAUCGUAAAACUCUGUUGUUAGGGAAGAACAAGUACGAGAGUAACUGCUCGUACCUUGACGGUACCUAACCAGAAAGCCACGGCUAACUACGUGCCAGCAGCCGCGGUAAUACGUAGGUGGCAAGCGUUGUCCGGAAUUAUUGGGCGUAAAGCGCGCGCAGGCGGUUCCUUAAGUCUGAUGUGAAAGCCCACGGCUCAACCGUGGAGGGUCAUUGGAAACUGGGGAACUUGAGUGCAGAAGAGAAGAGUGGAAUUCCACGUGUAGCGGUGAAAUGCGUAGAGAUGUGGAGGAACACCAGUGGCGAAGGCGACUCUUUGGUCUGUAACUGACGCUGAGGCGCG
Molecule: ribosomal RNA, 715 nt
Filed under: Niallia nealsonii
Lineage: Bacteria; Bacillati; Bacillota; Bacilli; Caryophanales; Bacillaceae
Description: bacterial SSU rRNA
Rfam family: Bacterial small subunit ribosomal RNA
Source: RNAcentral